RNAcentral lists this transfer RNA (76 nucleotides) under Aliikangiella marina. Its description in RNAcentral is "tRNA-His". It matches the Rfam family "tRNA". Rfam says of the family: Transfer RNA (tRNA) molecules are approximately 80 nucleotides in length. Lineage: Bacteria; Pseudomonadati; Pseudomonadota; Gammaproteobacteria; Oceanospirillales; Pleioneaceae. The record is from RNAcentral.
GUAGCCAUAGCUCAAUAGGUAGAGUCCCGGAUUGUGAUUCCGGAUGGUAUCGGUUCGAAGCCGAUUGGUUACCCCA